CCUACGGGAGGCAGCAGUGAGGAAUAUUGGUCAAUGGGCGCGAGCCUGAACCAGCCAAGUCGCGUGAGGGAAGACGGUCCUAUGGAUUGUAAACCUCUUUUGUCGGGGAGCAAAAGACGCCACGCGUGGCGUUCCGAGAGUACCCGAAGAAAAAGCAUCGGCUAACUCCGUGCCAGCAGCCGCGGUAAUCCGGAGGAUGCGAGCGUUAUCCGGAUGUAUUGGGUUUAAGGGGUGCGCAGGCGGAAGAUCAAGUCACAGGUAAAAUUGAGAGGCUCAACCUCUUUGAGCCGUUGAAACUGGUUUUCUUGAGUGAGCGAGAAGUAUGCGGAAUGCGUGGUGUAGCGGUGAAAUGCAUAGAUAUCACGCAGAACUCCGAUUGCGAAGGCAGCAUACCGGCGCUCAACUGACGCUCAUGCACGAAAGUGUGGGUAUCGAACAGGAUUAGAUACCCGUGUAGUC
This 459-nucleotide ribosomal RNA is filed under the name uncultured bacterium. RNAcentral's name for it is "partial 16S ribosomal RNA". It matches the Rfam family "Bacterial small subunit ribosomal RNA", at positions 338 to 795 of the family's 1533-position model. The record is from RNAcentral.